This is a non-coding RNA of Gossypium hirsutum (cotton), 162 nucleotides long. NCBI's taxonomy places the organism in Eukaryota, Viridiplantae, Streptophyta, Magnoliopsida, Malvales, Malvaceae. The record is from Rfam.
AAUAGUUUUAUGCCACAUCAGUAUUCUUAUCCUGAAUUUCAGGAUUUUAUCCUGAAUUUCAGUAUUUUAAUUUGGAUUUAAUUUUUUUCAGGAUAAAAUCCUGAAAUUCAGGAUAAAAUCCUGAAAUUCAGGAUAAGAAUACUGAUGUGGCAUAAAACUAUU